CAUCCCCUGCCGUGUUCGACAGUCGCUGAGAUCUCCUUGAGCCUAAUUUCCAUCUCAGGGGACUCAAGCUGGUGCCAUGUGCAUGCCCGCCAUGAGCGGGAAGCCUGAGGCAUCACUGCCGUCCCCCUCUUGAACCGCUGGUUCAAGGGCAACAGCGACACCGACACAUGCGGAGGAUGC
This 180-nucleotide non-coding RNA is filed under the name Gammaproteobacteria bacterium. Its description in RNAcentral is "6S RNA". It matches the Rfam family "6S / SsrS RNA". Rfam says of the family: E. coli 6S RNA was the first non coding RNA to be sequenced, but its function was unknown until recently. It consists of 184 nucleotides that fold into an extended hairpin structure with a large single-stranded internal bulge. The record is from RNAcentral. Lineage: Bacteria; Pseudomonadati; Pseudomonadota; Gammaproteobacteria.